GCACAAACAUCUUUUGAGUCCGAAACUAAACAGGUCAACCCGACCUCCCUGACCCUCCUCUCCUUCCGUAGCUUCUAUUUGUCAAGGUCUCCGCGUUCUCUUCAGCUUCCCUUUACGCUCCCCCAGCACGGGGGCUUUGUGGAGUCCCCCCAAAGUCCCAGAACCCUGCGGGACGGUCAGAGGUUUGGCGGCCAGGCGUCAGAAAGUGUCCCCGCUCUUUGCUGCCCUUGUGCACUCUGGGGGCGCGAAUUGGAUACCAAAGGCAGUGAAGGUCCUGGGUCAGGACUGCAGCCAAGAAGCUUUCUGAUGAUGCUGAGGCACCAAGGAGCCCUGGGUGUCUGGGCAUUUGGGGAAGAAGCCUCAAACAUGAGUGCCAGACAGCACUGAAGACCCUGAUGGUCAGUGUCCAUAUUGGG
This 416-nucleotide long non-coding RNA is filed under the name Capra hircus (goat). Its description in RNAcentral is "lncRNA (ENSCHIG00000005974.1)". Lineage: Eukaryota; Metazoa; Chordata; Mammalia; Artiodactyla; Bovidae. The record is from RNAcentral.